Zalophus californianus (California sea lion) is the source of this 1688-nucleotide non-coding RNA. NCBI's taxonomy places the organism in Eukaryota, Metazoa, Chordata, Mammalia, Carnivora, Otariidae. The record is from the annotation of a RefSeq genome assembly.
CCGUCUGCUGAUUAAACCAGCUGAGCCCCAACACUUGCAGCUGGGAGAGGAGACCAGCCCCGGGUUCCCCACGUGUUCCCAUUCAGUGAUCAGGAGAGAACACAGACAACUCACCAUGGAGUUUGCACUUGGCUGGCUUAUCCUUGUUGCUCUUUUAAAAGGUGUCCAGUGUGAGGUGCAGCUGGUGGAGUCUGGGGGAGACCUUGUGAAGCCUGGAGGGUCCCUGAGACUCUCCUGUGCAGCCUCUGGAUUCACCUUCAGCAGCUACAACAUGUACUGGGUCCGCCAGGCUCCAGGGAAGGGGCUGCAGUGGGUCGCAGGUAUUAGCAGUAGUGGUGGUAGCACAAACUACGCAGACUCUGUGAAGGGCCGAUUCACCAUCUCCAGAGACAACGGCAAGAACACGCUGUAUCUGCAGAUGAACAGCCUGAGAGCCGAGGACACAGCCGUGUAUUACUGUGCGAAGGAUUAUUAUAGUGGUAGUGGUUGGAACUAUGGCUACUUCGAUGUUUGGGGCCAGGGCACCCUGGUCACCGUCUCCUCAGCCUCCACCACGGCCCCAUCGGUGUUCCCACUGGCCCCCAGCUGCGGGACCACAUCCGGCUCCACAGUGGCCCUGGCCUGCCUGGUGUCCGGCUACUUCCCCGAGCCCGUGACUGUGUCCUGGAACUCCGGCUCCUUGACCAGUGGUGUGCACACCUUCCCGUCCGUCCUGCAGUCCUCAGGGCUCUACUCUCGCAGCAGCAUGGUGACAGUGCCCUCCAGCAGGUGGCCCAGUGACACCUUCACCUGCACCGUGGCCCACCCGGCUAGUAGCACCAACAUUGUCAAGCCAGUGCCCAAAUCAAAUGGUGGCACCCCAUGUAAGGAAUGUCCCAAAUGUCCAGUCCCUGAUUCUCUGGGAGGACCUUCAGUCUUCAUCUUCCCCCCGAAACCCAAGGACACCCUCUCCAUUUCCCGAACCCCCGAAGUCACUUGCAUGGUGGUGGACCUGGAAGACCCUGAGGUCCAGAUCAGCUGGUUCAUGGGUGACCAGGAGAUGCGCACGGCCAAGACAAAGGUGCCUGAGGAGCAGUUCAACAGCACCUACCGUGUGGUCAGUGUCCUCCCCAUCGUGCACCAGGACUGGCUCAAGGGGAAGGAGUUCAAGUGCAAGGUCAACAACAAAGCCCUCCCAUCCCCCAUCGAGAGGACCAUCUCCAAGGCCAGAGGGCAGGCCCAUCAGCCCAAUGUGUACGUCCUGCCCCCAUCCCGGGAUGAGAUGAACAAGAACACAGUCAGCGUGACCUGCCUGGUCAAAGACUUCUACCCAUCUGAGGUUGAUGUCGAGUGGCAGAGCAAUGGCCAGCAGAUGCCAGAAAGCAGUAUCCGAACAACCCCACCCCAACUGGACGCAGAUGGGACCUACUUCCUCUACAGCAAGCUCUCGGUGGACAAGAACCGCUGGCAGCGGGGAGAGGUCAUCACGUGUGUGGUAUUGCAUGAAGCUCUACACAACCACCACACACAGAAAUCCAUCUCCCAGUCUCCGGGUAAAUGAGAAACGCGCCCGGUACCCCAGCAAGCCCCCACCCAUGGGCUCUCAGGGUCCCACAAGGACGCCAGAGCCCCCACCCCUGUGUACAUACCUCCCGGGCAGGCACCCCUGCAUGAAAUAAAGCACCCAGCACUGCCCUGGGACUCUGCGA